AAGUCGUAACAAGGUUUCCGUAGGUGAACCUGCGGAAGGAUCACUGGUAGAGAGAGAGUGGGUGGGGGGGAGAAGUGGGGAGGUUUUUGGAGAAAGUGGGGAGAUGGAGGUGGAGAUGGAUAUGAGAUUGAUUUAAACGUCAUUUCAUUCCAUCACCAUUUCCUUCACCAUCUCUUUCACCACACACCCCACAUACAGCCCUCACCACAUUAUCACGCUUGUUUGUUUGACUGUACAUUGACACAAAAAAUCACAACUUUUAACAAUGGAUCUCUUGGCUCUU
Molecule: unclassified non-coding RNA, 283 nt
Filed under: fungal sp.
Lineage: Eukaryota; Fungi
Description: partial internal transcribed spacer region
Rfam family: Eukaryotic small subunit ribosomal RNA (bases 1-46)
Source: RNAcentral